RNAcentral lists this ribosomal RNA (368 nucleotides) under Lemniscomys rosalia (single-striped grass mouse). RNAcentral's name for it is "partial 12S ribosomal RNA". The record is from RNAcentral. Lineage: Eukaryota; Metazoa; Chordata; Mammalia; Rodentia; Muridae.
GCUUAGCCCUAAACCUAAAUAGUUUUACAACAAAAUUAUUUGCCAGAGAACUACUAGCCACCGCUUAAAACUCAAAGGACUUGGCGGUACUUUAUAUCCCCCUAGAGGAGCCUGUUCUAUAAUCGAUAAACCCCGCUAUACCUCACCAUCUCUUGCUAAUUCAGCCUAUAUACCGCCAUCUUCAGCAAACCCUAAAAAGGCAGCAAAGUAAGCACAAGAAUAAACAUAAAAACGUUAGGUCAAGGUGUAGCCAAUGAGAUGGGAAGAAAUGGGCUACAUUUUCUUCUAAAAGAACACCACGGAUUUCUUUAUGAAACUAAAGAAUGAAGGCGGAUUUAGUAGUAAAUUAAGAAUAGAGAGCUUAAUUG